Molecule: long non-coding RNA, 2065 nt
Organism: Dendrobium catenatum
Lineage: Eukaryota; Viridiplantae; Streptophyta; Magnoliopsida; Asparagales; Orchidaceae
Exons: 2
Source: RefSeq, a predicted model, not a curated record
GCGGAGGCGGGUAAGUAAGCCGCGCGAGAUGGAAGACAGGUACUCGAAGAGGAAGGGGAAGAACCCUAGAUCAGUGCUACGGCUUGCGCUCAUUCUUGCAAACCUCUCCUUGGGUUUUACCUUUACCAUGGAGAACAAAUGCUCCGUUUGUAAUACCAUCGCGGGAGAGAUUCAGACCGGGCUUUCUAACGUAAGUUUACAUUGCACUUCAACUAGUUUUCACUCUUUAUGCAUUUUUAAACGUAUAUCUUGAAAUUAACCGCAGCAUAAUAUUGCUUCUUUUGUUGAGCGAUUACCGUACUCUAGAACUUAGUGUGUAUAACUUUUUUGCUGUUCACCAAGCCUGUUGUUCUCAUUAUUUUCAUUUUCGGUCAUUAUGAUUCCAAAGUAAGGCACGUGUACAAUGGUAGUUAUCAUUGCAUAUAUUUCUCAUACAUGAUGUUUCCCCAGUGAUUUCAAACCACAAUGUAUUAUAGACCAAAAUUGAAACCCUUUUAGCUGUGUUUUCCAUUUUCCAAGAUCUUUGAUUACAAGAACAUGAAAACAGAUGAAAUGCAAGAAAUCAAGCAUUAAUUAUAGCCAAAUAAUGAAGCUUUUUUAGAGUUUCUCUAAAAAUGAAAAAAUAGUUACUGAAGGAUAUUUAAACAAUAGCAUCCUAAAAAAUGCUCUUCUAAAAGUUAUUUAGUUUCUUUCUGAAACCAACCAUUUUUUUCCUCUUACCUUACCAAUACAUGUAGUAUGUUAUCCAUUGUAGACUAUGUUAAAAAAAAGCUGUUACCCUAUUUACCAUUUUAUAUGAUGCAGAACAGACUACAAUAUAUUUAGAUUAUGUAUAGUGAUGAUGCAGAAGUUUCUUUAUGUAUGUAUGGUCAGGAAAAGAUGAUAAUAUACCAAAGAAAAUGAUCAGGAUGUAUUAUCUACUCUUCAAAAAAAAUUCCAUUUUCUAUGAGUUUAUUGGUCUUUACUUGCCUUGUACCUAAUAUUAUUUCUAAAAUUUUAUCACUUGUGUAAUAUUAGUGGUAGCCUAAGCGACAAGUCUUAACUUCUUCAAUGAUGUUCUUGCAUAGUUAUCUGAUCUCCAUGGGGUACUUCGGAACAUAUUUUUAAUACGUUAUAUGUAUGAUGGAUGCCUCAGCUUGAGAGUUGAGUGACACAUCAUUGCACCUUGGUAUUGCAUCGGCUCAUUCAGCUGCACAUACAACAACAACAACAACAUCAAGCCUUUAUCCCACCAGCUGCACAUAUUCAAUCUUUUUUUAUCUUAAUUGUUAGUCUAUAAUGUUCUUCACCUACAAUGACCAACUUGAAAAUCAACUAGACUUGUGAAGAUUUUUGCCUUUGAAGUGCCUUGUUGUCAUGAUGUCACCAAUAUCACUCAAAUACCCCCAUACAAUUUGCAAGUGAUCUUCUGAUGUUGUUUUUAUGGAAGCCCAACUCUAAGCACCUCUGGUACUAUACCGCUUUAGUGAGGACCGAGCCUCAUUUUUAGGUACCCUAUUUCUAGAGAUUGAAAUGAAGAAACUGAAGGAAACAAAAAUUAGGCAACGAGGUAUGUGAUUUUCCCUGAUUCUGCAUCCAGUACCUAUAUUGAUCAGAUGUGCACAAGAACUCUUUGUAUGAAAGAGGUACGUCAGAUAAUACAACAUGAUAUAUUCAUACCCUAACCCAUUUUCAACUACUCCCAGUACGUUAGACUGCAAGCGGCCUUCUCCCCUCGUGUAGGCUACGUUGCUACUUCUGCCUUCAAAAACAUGCCCUUCCAACCACUUUGUUAUUCUAGUGACCAUGUGAUGGGGACAUCAGAUUUCGACAUGUGUACCAUCGCCGGAGGCGCCGAUCGACGGCCAUGAUUCAAAGUCUUUAUUUUUGAUGUUUUAUUUUAUUCAUGUCAUUUAUAUUUUUUGUCUUUUUCCUUUUGUACCCCUAUGAGGGAAUUAGUGUUUGUUGUUGCCCAAGGGCAUUGUAGUCUUUUACUUUCUGUAUGCUUGUUGAGCCUAUAUAAAGGCUUGGUCUUUGUAUUUUGGAUUAUUACUUAAUGAAUGAAAAUUUGCUCUCUUUUUUUUUA